RNAcentral lists this ribosomal RNA (512 nucleotides) under Mystacides azureus. RNAcentral describes it as "SSU rRNA". It matches the Rfam family "Eukaryotic small subunit ribosomal RNA", at positions 624 to 1101 of the family's 1831-position model. Lineage: Eukaryota; Metazoa; Arthropoda; Insecta; Trichoptera; Leptoceridae. The record is from RNAcentral.
AAGCUCGUAGUUGAAAUUGUGUCCUGCGGUGUCGGUCUGCCGAUCGCGGUAUGACGGGCAUGUCUGUGGGACUUCUCGCCGGUGCGUCAACCGCCGAAGCGUGUCGGUCGGCCGUGAGGUCUGGCCGCUCGCGCCGAGGCGGAACGUUGCGGCUGUUUACUUUGAACAAAUUAGAGUGCUCAAAGCGGGCUAACACUCGCCUGAAUAUUGUACGCAUGGAAUAAUAGAAUAGGACCUCGGUUCUGUUUUGUUGGCUUUCUGAUACCAGAGGUAAUGAUUAAUAGGGACAACUGGGGGCAUUCGUAUUGCGACGUUAGAGGUGAAAUUCUUGGAUCGUCGCAAGACGGACUAAAGCGAAAGCAUUUGCCAAAGGUGUUUUCAUUAAUCAAGAACGAAAGUUAGAGGUUCGAAGGCGAUUAGAUACCGCUGUAGUUCUAACCAUAAAUGAUGCCAGCCAGCGAUCCGCCGAAGUUUCAUUAUAUUAACCCGGUGGGCAGCUCCCGGGAAACCAA